This 8249-nucleotide long non-coding RNA is filed under the name Olea europaea subsp. europaea. The record is from RNAcentral. Lineage: Eukaryota; Viridiplantae; Streptophyta; Magnoliopsida; Lamiales; Oleaceae.
UUUAUUUGCUAACAGCCGUUAACCACCGAAAAAGCCUCCCGCCGCUUCUCAAUAAAGCUAUAACCACCACUUUGCCGCCGUGGAAAAUUAACCUUCGGAAAUCCAAAAAUGGCAUCAUCCAGUGCGCUCUCGCAGCUCAACAAUUUGAAUUCACGAGUCGUUAUCUCUACUGUCCAUGAAAAUGCAUUUCGCAGAAGAAAUGCAAGAUUUCGAAUGGCAGCGUCAAGUAAUAGUGGAAGUGGAGAAGUGGCAGUGGCAUUCGAGGAGGGACAGUUGGAAAGACCUAAAUGGAUUGGUGAAACCCCAGUUUCUCGCUUUGUUGGAGCUCUCAUUUCCUUCAAACCUUUAUAUUCCGUACUCAAACUCGGUGCAAGACAAGUCCUCAUCAGGUCAAUUUAUACUGCAUUGGGCUAGCGUUUAUGUGUCAUGUGUGUGUGUGUGUGUGUCCCCCCCCCCCCGGAUUUUUAAGAUUAUGGGUUUGAAUUAUUUGGUGUUGAUUUCAUUUUGAUGAAAAAAAAAUGAAAUUUGGAUUUGGGUUGGAACAGUACAGCUGAGAAAACCAACAUUCCGUGGAGGGAAAUGACAAAGGAGGUUUUGGAAUCGGAUGUGUACCGGAAGCUGGAGACCAUUGAGGACGGCUCAAUUGUGUAUCCUGAUUGUAAUUUUUUAAAUUUUUAAAUUUUUCUUUAUUCGUGUUUUCACAGUUCUAUUGGAUUCAAGUAAAUAGAUUUCAUUCACAUGAUCAUAUUCAAGUUUAGUAAUGGAUAAUGCCAUAAUGGACUUCUCUAUCUUUUCAUGUAUUGAUAUCAGAAUUUUAUCUCCUGAAUGUGGUUAUAUUUCUUUUCUUUUCUAAACACAAACUUCUAAGUUUUCACUUGAGAUCUUCUUAUGUCUCUUGUGCGUUAAAAGCUAUGAGAUGAUUCAUUAUGUCUGUUGAGAUUUAGAUUUAAUGAUAUCGCAGUAUAUUUUUGUUGUUUCUUUGUGUGCCUUGUGUUAAAAUCAUAGAGAAUCUUGAUUGGGCAUUGGGAAAGAAAAUUGUUGACUCGCUUUAAUUUUACUGAAAAAUGCUUAUCAUAGUUUCACUUUAACAGUCCAUUUUAACUUACUAAAAUAAUCCCUGGUUAUAAAUUUUACCCCAACUACUAAACAGCGUGCAGCAUAUAGUUAUUCUAUCUGACAACUCAUAUUGAUGCUUAAGUAGUUAUGAGAAUCUCAGAGUAAUCAGUCUUAGCUAUUUGCCAGUGAAGAGAUAGUCAUAUAUUCAUUAUUUUAAUAUGAUAUAAAAUUAUGAAGUAAAAUUAUAUGAUACUGAGGCAAAUGGGGCAUAACCUAUGUACAUUAGUAAAAUCUAUUUGAAAUAUAUAUGCUGUGAGAAUUUCCAUAUGGAAGUGUGCCACUAAGGACAUAACUCUUACAUCGUUCGAAGUUCAAAUAGGAAGAAAACAUCCUGACAGCUCGCUUUUUAUUUAACUCUUUUACUAUGAAAAUGCAAUUUCAUAUCCUUCUCAUAUUUCAGCUGUUCUAAAACGAAAGGAGAAAUGGAAAAAUUAUUGAAGAGAAUCCUCUCAGAAUCUACAAGUUAAGCUUAAAUAUAAUUGGCACUCAUAAACUAGCAUCUUAUUUUUUACCUGGAUUUUGUUAAUUGGAAAUUUGAAAGGAUUUUAAUGGCGUCUAGAUUUAUUUAUGCAGAUUAUCUCAAUCCAUUUCAUGCAUAUGAUGAGGGAAACCUUUCUUGGCUGGUAAUUGGUGAAUGAUUCUUCUCCUGUAAACUUAAUUUAUCUGCUUUGAUAUACUCCUGUCUAUCUCAAAUCAGUCAACAGCUUCUUUUAUUCUUCUCUUUUUUCGAUUGAUAAUGCCUAAUGGGAUUGGGGUCAAGAAGGUCAAGAAUAUCAUUAUUUUACUUGUACUUUUGUAAUACUUCAGAGUCACUGAUGCAGUACCGAUAGGAUGAUUAAUAGAAAUAGAAGAAAGAUUCAGAAAGAAUGAGGAAUUAAUGGAGGGGAUAGAAGAAGAAUUCAAUAGAAGAAGGGGAGGGAUGCGCCAUAAGCCACCAAAAUAAUUAUUCAUUCAUCAUCAACUGAAAGUUACAAUGCAAAAUAGGUUUAAAUAGUAAAGCAACCCUAACGAGUUUGGGCUCGAGUCCAUACAAGUCCAAAUUUAAAUAAUAGUCCAAGAAAAUAAAUAAAGCUUAAAUAAAAUAAGUAAACGUCGUCCGAUGUCCUCAUCAACUCUGUUGGGGUGGGAGAAAAACUCGACCCUAUCGAGUUGAUAGAUAUUAUAGGCUGCAAUCAAUCUAAUACUCCAAAUGCUUCAAGUCAAGCCACUGGGGACAAUCUUAAUGACGAACCAAGUAACGAAAUUCCAUAAUUGAUAGUACUGAAAACUGUAGCUUAUUCCCAAGAAUAUGAUCUGACCAAGGGGGCCGAUCUUUCCUUCUAACCAAGUACUGAUACUGGACUUCAAAUAACCAAUACUCAUGCACAACAUUUUCACAUGAUUGUACAUAAUGAGGAGUAUAAGAAGUACGUCGAUCUACCCAACAAACAAGAAAGUACUGAAUUUUGCCAUCAUUGGUCAAUACAACACGUUCAUCUAAAAUAACAUCAAUUUUAUCUUUGUGUGCUGUGAUAGAUGAUAUUAAAGUAGAAAUAUCUAUAUAGUCAAAUUGGGGGUCCACAAAGUUAGGUAGAAAUGGAUCAUCAAAGGAAGUAAUACGGUAUUUGUAAGUAAUGAAGUCCUCAAUAUUUAAAGCAGAGUGGUAGCUAAAAUGUGAUGAAAGGGCAAUGACAUGUGCAUUUGAACCAACAUGCUUUAAAAUUUUUAAAGGACCAGCACUACAAGCUUGCAAUAAGACAUAAUCCCCAAUAUUAAAUUCAAAAUAUCGUUUAUGCAAAUCAGCUUGAAGUUUAUAUAAUGCAUUACUUGUGUCAUGUUGUUUAUUGAUCUCAAUAUGCAAGUCAUGAAGAUGAUAUACAAAUGCUUCAGCUGACAACAACACACUAGCAUGCGGGGACAUGAGAAUAAGAUCUAACGGUCGCCUAGACUUAUAAUUAUGAACAACUUCAAAUGGAUUUAGACCUAGAGACCGAUUCAUAGAAUUGUUAGAUGCGAUGUGAACAGUUGGGGGGAUCGAGUCCCAAUUCUCAAGAUUUUUCUGGACUAGAGACUGUAAUAAAUUGCCAAGACUUCGGUUAGCAAUUUCGUUUUGACCAUUAGUUUGAGGUUGGUCAAUAGUGGAGAAUUUCGAUUUAGUACUAAGAACAAGCGACUGGAUUUUCCAAGGGUGACUAGUGAAAUCAUCAAACUCUUUGAGUGGGGUAAGGGUAUGACAUAUAACAUGUAAUCGAGAGUUGUCGGAAACAAGGGGUAUAGUUUCUAAAGUCUCGGGAAGGGUCGGGAUUCUACUUAAGGAAGUGUCCUCACUAUAAUCAUCAAAAUCUUCAAGUUUAGGGCCAUACGCUAGAUCUUCUAACGACUCUUCUAUUGCAUUCUUUUGUUCUUCUAUGACUAAGGCUCGGUUAGGACAUUUGGAAGAGAUGUGGCCAAAAUCCUUACAGCUGAUGCAUAGCAAGUGAGAAGUCUUUGGAGUUUCACAAAUUAUACCCUUAUUUUCCAAAAUUGGAGGAACAUUAGAUGGGGGAGGUCCUAGAAGGGACUUAACAGGAGGAAGUGGAGCCAUAUUAGACGGGGGAGGUCCUAGAAGGGACUUAACAGGAGGAAAUGGAGCCAGUGAAACCGAAAGAUGAUUGCCAUUACGCUUUCUACAUGAAGAAGAAGAUCUUGGACUAUCACGACCUUUACAAUUAUUUUUCCAAAUAGGAGGAACAUUAGACGGAGAAGGUUUUAUGAUAGACUUAUGAUGAGGCGACGCUAAUGAGAUGGAUGAACGACGAUGACCACGCUUUUCAUAUGGAGUACUAAUAAUCAACUCAUAAUCUUGAGUUAAAGAGUAAGCAUGAUCAAGAGUAGUGACACCUCGAAGGAAAAGCUCGCGCUUAAGAUCAUCUCUCAGACCUUGGCUAAACCUACUCAAAGUCAUACUUUCAUCCUUAAUUAAAUGACAUUUGGUUUGAAAUUCCUCAAAUUGCGCGAUAUACUCACUCACUAAUUGAUUUUCUUGUUUAAGGGCAUUCCAUUGAGUAAGAAUUUCAAAAUUAUCUCGUUCUCGCUUACGAAUCUGAUCCUUAUUCCUACGAUCGCGUCGAAAAUAUUUUUGAUCACUUUGUCCACGAUGAUAUUGUCUACUAUGAGACGCUUCAGAAUUAGUGUCAGUUAAACGAGAGGUUCGCUUAAAAUUGCUUAACUUAGCAACUAGGUUCUUUCUCUCCUCACGAGUAGCAGUUAUAUCUGAUUGGACAGUCGAUAGGCUAGUGGCAAGUUGCGCUAAUUGUCUAGUGAGUGCAUCAAAUUGGGAUGGAUCCAUGGUCAAUGUAUUGGAAAUAGAGAUGACAAGACGACCGCUAUGCAACUACAUGCAAUAUAAUACUAGCUAAAUGACGUGUUAUGAUGAGAUCAGUGAACAAUACGUGCAAGUAAUGGAAAAUAACUUGUACCAUUUUUUUUAAUUUAAUUUUAAAUAUUGGGAUUAAUUAAAUCCAAAACAAGCUAAUACUGCUAGUACAUGUAAAAUGGUAAAACAAGGGUCAACAUUAGUCAAAUUCUCCAAUCAAUUUAAGUGGGGAACAAUGGAAGUCAUUUCGGUUACUAGUGUUAAUUCGAUUAAUGGUUUUGAUCAAGUGAGAUUUAAGGCUAAAAUUAUCAUAAUAACAGCGGCAUAAGAUUUUAAUUGAUGCAAUUUUAAAAAUGAAGCAGUAGUAUAAACCAAUACUAAAUAGAGAUCAAGGACUCCCUGUUGUUUAGUUUUGAUUAUUUGUAUGCCGCUUGACCUGAAUUGCCGACUUAUAAGCCUCAACUAUACUUCUGUUCUUCCAUUCGUGUCCAAUGGUUUUAACCUCUGCUGACUGUAACUUGUGCUGGCUCUGGUGUGGACGUAAAAUUGAGUGUGGUGAUUGUGACUUUUAGAUUGUUGAGAUGGACGAGGAAAUAUAUGAGUGUGGUAACUGUGGUGGAAGUGUAUGAUCUUUGGUUGGUGGUGGUGGUCUAUGGCAAUGAAGCGGCAGUGCUCUAGAUGCCUGGGUAUAAUAGAUAAUGAAGUAGUAGCGUGAUGGUGAUUAAAGGCGAUGACAGCAAGAGAGUGGUUGUGAGAGAGGAAUCGAGUGAAACUGUGGGGUAUUUGAUGUUAAUGGAUUGGUUAUAAUCGGGUUUGGUCGGAUAUUUGGGACUAGGCCAGAUGGGAAGGGGUUUGGAUCCUGUUAUAGAGAUGGGCCAGCUGGGGUUAGUGUUUGGAGAGUGGGCCUGGGUCGUAAAGAGUAGGCUGGGUUAGUUGGGCUAAAUUGGCUUGAAUGUUAGGGUUUGGGAUUUGUGGAACAACACCACAAUUUUUAUUUUUUUUUUUUAGCAGCAGCAAAAAAAAAAAAAAAAAAAACGAGAAAUAUAUAUUUUUUUUUUGGGCGUGAACAGUAACUUUUUUUUUAUAAGAAACUGACCAAAAUACUAAAUUGAAAUUCUGUGUGAACAGUACCCGAGAUGAACAGUACUUUUUUUUUUUUCAACUAAGACUCAAAAUUGAAGAAGAAGAAAAAAACUGCUGCCUUUACCAAAAAAUUUUUUAGUUCGUGCUGUUCCAACAGAUUUUGGGAAGGAAAUAUGAAUAAAUUUUGGAUUAAAGAAAAGAGAUUACCCAUGAUUCGGCUCUGAUACCAAAUUUGAUGCAGCACCAAUAGGAUGAUUAAUAGAAAUAGAAGAAAGAUUCAGAAGGAAUGAGAAAUUAAUGGAGGGGAUAGAAGAAGAAUUCAAUAGAAAAAGGGGAGGGAUGCGCCAUAAGCCACCAAAAUAAUUAUUUAUUCAUCAUCAACUGAAAGUUACAAUGCAAAAUAGGUUUAAAUAGUAAAGCAACCCUAACGAGUUUGGGCCCGAGCCCAUACAAGUCCAAAUUUAAAUAAUAGUCCAAGAAAAUAAUUAAAGUUUAAAUAAAAUAAGUAAACGUCGUCCGAUGUCCUCAUCAAUCACAAAGCAACUUUUGUUGUUAUCUAUGGUUUUCUUUAGAAAAAAAUGCUUGACCUCUUGUAAUUGACUUCUGGAGAAAAUCAAGAAUAUAAACAAGAUUUAUUUUAGUAAUAAUUUUAAGAAGUUAUUCUGUUUUAAAAUGAUGUAUCUGCAACAGGCUGCAGCAGAAGCAGAACCUGCAACUAUGUCAAUGGUGAGACGAGCGAUACCUUAUGCUUCUUCGCUUGAUGAAGCAAAUCAAAUAGUCCGUGGAAAUUGGCUUCAGGCUAUCGAAAGUCAUCAUCAGAAACAUUCAGGAAACUCCUCAAUUAGUGACAUUAUUGACAUUGGAUGCUCUGUUGGAGUGAGCACAAACUUUCUUGCUGACAAAUUUCCAUCUGCCAAAAUUACUGUAAGUAUGAAUUAUGUGUAUACCAUUUCAAGCAUGCCACAAUUUCUGUAGAUAUUGGACUGCUGGCAACAAUAAGGAUUAACGUAAUGGGCAAACUCAAUGAAUUGUAGUUCUCGUAUUAGACAUGAUUUCAUUGUUGGUGCUUUACCCAGAUUUCUGUGUGAUGUCCAUCCUGGGUCAUACUUAUUGGUCUUUGGUCUGCAUCUUCUGCAGGGACUGGAUUUAUCACCUUACUUUCUUGCUGUUGCUCAAUUUAAGGAAAAGAGAAGCAACCAGAGAAAAGAUCCAAUCAGGUGGAUACAUGGAAAUGGUGAAAACACAGGCUUGCCUUCAAAAUCUUUUGACCUUGUCUCAGUUGCUUAUGUGGUAUGUUGUGUUUUCUUGAAAACUUAAAAACUAAAUUACAUUUGUAAUUAGCUUUCAAGAGAAACUAAAUGCAGAUAUGACUAAUACAAGAACCCCCCCCCCCCCCCCCCAAAAAAAAAAAAAUUGUAUUAUUAUUUUUAUAUGAAACACAUCAAUUUUUCUUUUGUUGAGUGAUGAUGGGAUUGAAAGGAUAUGAACAUAGAAAAGAUAUGAAAUAAGAGAUGAUUUAAUUUUCUAUUAUUGAAACGUAAUCCUGCUUAUAGUUUUUUUGCCCAAUCCAUGCUAACUUUGGAUAGAAAAUUCUUCCUAUGGCAAUUCGUUGAAAAUCAUAUUCUCACGUCCACUAACAUGGCUAUUUCCUUGAAUAAAUUCAGGAAAUGAGUAUAGUGCAGAGAAUCUUAUUACACUAGUAAGGGAAGAUUUACAUCAAUAUAAAUCUUGUGAUAUUCAUGUUUUGACUUUUACUAUUGGCGCUUCGGUAAUUGGCUAAUUUGGAAGCUAGAAUAUCUCGUACAGUAAGAAAAUAUGCCAUACUAAAAGUUUCUCCUUGGUCAGAGUAUGAACUCCAUCUGAAGAAUAACGGAAAGGAAACUUCCCUAUCAGGAUAUGGUCAAGCUUUCCAUAUUAUUUUGAUGGACUUGUGGAAAAAAGAUAUUUUGCGUGCAUGUUAUCAUUUACAUGGUUUGAUCCGUCUCAAAACAAAAGAAGUGGAUAAAUUGCUAUAAUUGAGUUAAAAAAAAGAAGAAGAAAAAAAGAAAAAACAACUUGUAAAAGUAGUUAUAGUACUUGUCUUUCCUUGAGUGGUAAAGGUAGGACGUCAACCUUAUAUGUUAACACAAGGGGUUGAAGUCUAAAAUAGGGAAGAAAACAGGCUCUACUUAUAAUUUUUUCCAACUCCAUGUAUUUAUUGCUAGUGGUUGGCUAUGAGAUCUUAUGGAACAACGUUCGUAGCUUGAUUCUUGGCAGCUUUUGGAGACCUUUUUUAAAGCAUGUAUUCCUUUCCCUGACUCUGUUGUGCUGUUGCAGUUUCACGAGUGCCCUGAAAGAGCAAUUAAAAAUAUAGUGAAGGAAGCAUUUCGGCUUCUUCGACCUGGAGGCACUUUUGCUGUGACUGAUAACUCGGUAAAUAGCUUUAGAAUAUUGCAAAUAGUGUUCAUCUUUUAUGUAAUGUAAUAAUAUAUCAUACCAGACCAUUUCUUACAUUACUUUCCUUUUGUUCUCUUUUGCAGCCAAAAUCAAAGAUUCUUCAGGUAUGUUUUGUUUGUUGCUUUGUCAAGUUUUCUUUUGGCUUUUCUUCAUCAUGUGAUCAAGCUUUCCAUUAUCACUCAUGAUGAAAACAUCUGGAUCUCGCUUUUCUAAAUUCUUAGACCAAAAGAGAACAAUGGUCGGAAGAUGGUGACAUUUUGGAAACAUUNUAAUGAGCUUG